Molecule: unclassified non-coding RNA, 343 nt
Filed under: soil metagenome
Description: partial contains 5.8S ribosomal RNA, internal transcribed spacer 2, and large subunit ribosomal RNA
Rfam family: 5.8S ribosomal RNA (bases 1-120)
Source: RNAcentral
GAUGAAGAACGUAGCGAAAUGCGAUAAGUAAUGUGAAUUGCAGAAUUCAGUGAAUCAUCGAAUCUUUGAACGCACAUUGCGCCCGCCAGCGUUCUGGCGGGCAUGCCUGUUCGAGCGUCAUUUCAACCCUCGAGCCCCCCCGGGGGCCUCGGUGUUGGGGGACGGCACACCAGCCGCCCCCGAAAUGCAGUGGCGACCCCGCCGCAGCCUCCCCUGCGUAGUAGCACACACCUCGCACCGGAGCGCGGAGGCGGUCACGCCGUAAAACGCCCAACUUUCUUAGAGUUGACCUCGGAUCAGGUAGGAAUACCCGCUGAACUUAAGCAUAUCAAUAAGCGGAGGA